AUGGGGAACAUUCUGAAUCUCAUGCCUGGAAAUGGAAUAACUACACUGGAACACCACGAUCGGAAGCGAUGCCGCCAAGGUAGAAUAGCAGAUGAAGCAUUCGAACCGUGCUGCAUUAUGGUUCUCAGGGCUAUAUCAUACCAGGCUGGAUGUAAGGCAGUCCAUCAAAAGAGGAUUGCAGACGGCCGAUUCGAACUAUUGAGCAUUCUGAUUUGCAGAGCAAUGUCACUGCACACUCGUCCCAGACCGGUCUGUGACAAGGGGGCGCAAAAUGAUCAACAUAGACUGCGCAGCGUUCUGGCUUGUGGAGUUAUAUCUGACUACAUCAUCUGUCACGAGUUAUUAAACUCUGAAAAGGGGAUAUCAAGUGAUCCGUUUGAGAGCCUUCCAGAGGACGUGCUAUGCACAAUUUUAUCCAAGUUGCCUCUGAAUGAUGCUGUAAGGACCAGUGCCGUGUCAAGGAAGUGGAGAUUCUUGUGGACAGUUUGUCCAAACCUGAGUUUUGAAGGAAUUACAAUGUGUGGCAAGAGUACUUGUGGGAAAGAACAAGAUGUUCAGAAGUUCAUCGAUAAUGUUAAUGCAGUCUUGGCACAGUGCCAUGGCCGGGUUGUUGACGAGCUUGCCAUUUUGGUGCAGGGCAUGGCAUCCAUCAAAUUUGAUUUUGACACCAUGCUGGUUGACCAUCUCAAUAACUGGGUUCGCUUUGUGCUAUCCUCAUCACAGAUAGAGUUCUUAACUUUUGAUUUGGCACCAGAACGUUUUGGAGGUCGUUAUGAUCGGUACUUGUUUCCGUUCCAACUUUUGGACAGUGGAAGUAUAUCCCGUCUACAGAAAAUCCAUCUUAGCUUUGGAUAUCUCCGGCCACCAACCGGGUUCAGUGGUUUCCCUAACCUACGGAAGCUUGAUCUGAACUUAGUGAAUGUCAGUGGAAAAGAUCUUCAAGACAUGUUGUCAAAUUGCUCUAACCUAGAGUGGUUAAGUAUUGUUAGAUGUCAUCUCUACGAUGAACUAAAGGUUAAUGGUCCACUGCCUCACCUGCUACACUUGCAUUUUUCAUUCUGCGAGAUAACGAAGAUUGCAUUGCAUGCCGUGAAACUCACAAAUUUUGUAUACAAGGGGAAGUCAGUAUGUAUUGACCUCGGCAAAUCUUCAAGGCUCGAAAGUGCAGAUGUUAGUUUUUAUGGAGUGACUCUUGAGGACGCUACCACCCAACUUGCUAAUGUGUUUACACAUGCUCAAAAUCUGAUUUUUGAUACUUGUUGCGAACCACCACAGAUGCCCUGCCUGAUGCAUAACCCAUGCAAGUUUUCCCAGCUGAGGCAUUUAAAACUGAUGCUGCUAUUUGAAAACGAUGUUGACACUCCGCAUUUGGCCUCCUUUCUGACAUCCGCUCCUUUCCUCGAAACACUAGAGAUGGAUUUUAUUGUUUCUCCUUCCCUAUACACGGGACACGUGCCUAUGAAGGGACUUCUGGAGGGUCCAUAUAAAUAUCUGAAGAAUGUGUGCAUGACAGCAUUCCGAGGAUCCAGAGGCCAGCUUGAAUUUCUUUUGCACAUCGUGGGAAAUGCCCCUGCUUUGGUAUUUUUACUAUUGACCAUUCGUAUAAACAGGUGA
This 1614-nucleotide ribosomal RNA is filed under the name Triticum aestivum (bread wheat). RNAcentral describes it as "partial small subunit ribosomal RNA". Lineage: Eukaryota; Viridiplantae; Streptophyta; Magnoliopsida; Poales; Poaceae. The record is from RNAcentral.